CCUACGGGAGGCAGCAGUGAGGAAUAUUGGUCAAUGGGCGGGAGCCUGAACCAGCCAAGCCGCGUGAGGGAAGAAGGUACAGCGUAUCGUAAACCUCUUUUGUCAGGGAACAAAGGCGGGGACUAGUCCCCGGCUGAGGGUACCUGAAGAACAAGCAUCGGCUAACUCCGUGCCAGCAGCCGCGGUAAUAGGGGGGAUGCGAGCGUUAUCCGGAUUUAUUGGGUGUAAAGGGUGCGCAGGCGGCCUGUUAAGUCAGCGGUAAAAGCCCGGGGGUAAACCCGGGCGAGCCGUGGAAACUGGGGGGCUGGAGUUGGAGAGAGGUACGCGGAAUGCGCGGUGUAGCGGGGAAAUGCUUAGAUA
Molecule: ribosomal RNA, 360 nt
Filed under: uncultured bacterium
Lineage: Bacteria
Description: partial 16S ribosomal RNA
Rfam family: Bacterial small subunit ribosomal RNA
Source: RNAcentral